This 210-nucleotide ribosomal RNA is filed under the name uncultured bacterium. RNAcentral's name for it is "partial 16S ribosomal RNA". It matches the Rfam family "Bacterial small subunit ribosomal RNA", at positions 524 to 732 of the family's 1533-position model. The record is from RNAcentral.
UACGUAGGGUGCGAGCGUUGUCCGGAAUUAUUGGGCGUAAAGAGCUCGUAGGCGGUCUGUCGCGUUCGAUCGUGAAAACUUGGGCUUAACCCUGAGCUUGCGGUCGAUACGGGCAUGACUGGAGUUCGGCAGGGGGGACGUGGAAUUCCUGGUGUAGCGGUGAAAUGCGCAGAUAUCGGGAGAACACCAGUGGCGAAGGCGGCGACCUGG